This 148-nucleotide non-coding RNA is filed under the name Chlorocebus sabaeus (green monkey). The record is from Rfam by way of RNAcentral. Lineage: Eukaryota; Metazoa; Chordata; Mammalia; Primates; Cercopithecidae.
GCCAGGCGUGGUGGCACACGCCUGUAAUCCCAGCUACUCGGGAGGCUGAGGCAGGAGAAUCGCUUGAACCCAGGAGGUGGAGGUUGCAGUGAGCUGAGAUUGUGCCACUGCACUCCAGCCUGGGCAACAGAGCGAGACUUUGCCUCAA